GGGGCUCGGCGGCUGAAGGGGGAGGCAGCGCAGCGGAGCCUGCAGAGAGCGAGAGCUUCGCCCGCACCCGCCGCCACCGAACCACCGCCACCCCGGCACCGCCGCCAUGGUGCUCCGCACCGUCGUCACGCACGCGAAGAAGCACCCGGCCUUGAUUCCUCUGUUUGUGAUCAUUGGAUGUGGAGGUGUUGGUGCAAGCCUGUAUCUUAUGCGUUUGGCGAUGUUCAACCCUGAUGUUAGCUGGGACAAGAAAAAUAACCCAGAACCUUGGAACAAAAUGGCUCCCAAUGACCAGUACAAGUUGUUCUCGAUUAAUAUGGACUACAGUAGACUGAAAAAGGAUCGUCCUGACUUCUAAAAACACAACAAUGUCUGUAAGCUGGACAGAAAGGUCUUCCGGAAGCUGUUCGCACAAGUGUCAUGUUUAAUCAUCCAGGAAAUAAUUAAAUUUGCUUCACACAGCACCAGGUCAUGUGUUUGAAACUGUUUUGACGAGGCUUAAUAAACGUUUAAAACUUGAAGUGUCUGCUCUUUCAUUUUGCAAAAUGACAACAUCCUCCUAUUAACAGUUUCUGCUGUAUGGUUUGUCAGUAAGCAAAAGCCAUUUCAUGUUUCCUUGACAAGAAAGCAAAGUUGUUGUGGUUGGCCUUAUGCUCAGUGUGUUGAUCUCAGAAUAAUAACUGCAUGCUCAUGCAGUUAUACCAAACUUCAAAAACUUGAAAGCAUGUAUUUAUAUAUAUGCAUAAAUAUUUUUUAAUAUACCUGAAUUUAUCUACUUGCCACUUUAAGAAGUUUUGAUUGCAGAAAAGUUAAUGCCAGCAAGUCAUUAUCCAUCAGGGAGGGAGCAGAUGUUGCCAUAUGUUGCUGGAAGGAAGGAAAAAAACAGACUGUGCUCUCCAAAAGUUUUUGUUCCUUUCUUUUUUCUCUUCUAGUUAAGCAGGGUUUUUUUUUAAUUAAACAGAAAGACAACUUUCAAUAUUUAAAAAAUCAAAUUCUACAAACAUUGUCAAGAUUUCCUGUGGAUCACAGAUUUAAGGAAGGGAAGCACAUAGCUGAUGAGGGUACAGGUUUUGGGAAAUAAUUAGCUAUUCAUGUAAGAACAAAAACACGUUUUAGAAAGGGCAAAAUCUUGCACUUUAGUAUCUGGCUGAGUAUUGCUAUUGACUUAGUCUUGCUAUGGGAGGACAAAGAAAGUAUCUUUGCAAGUCUGUAACUUAUGGUAGGUUCUUUGUGCUUUACUGUGAACAUCUGGCACUUUGGAUAAGGGGUAUUAAUUCUGGGCUGUCUGACAGAGUACAGCUGUUCUUAUCUUGAUAAUCUCUGCUUAAAGUUGACUCCAAGAAUGUAGAUAGCCAUACCAACUAUUACAAGUAAUAAAGGCAAUUCAAGCAGCAAGAACUUAGAGAAGAAAAUUAUUCUGUGGUAAUUGGAAAAUAACGGAUAUUUGCAAAGACGUAUUUUAUAUGGAACAGCCUUGUAGGUAAAAUUGUCAUUUAUUUGGUAACAGUUCAGAUUAUCCUUUUAUUAUGUACUGAACCGGUGGAUUCACUCAGUUUUCAUUUGCUUGAAAGGCUCUCAUGAAGUCUGAAUAAGAAAAUGAGUAUUAUGACAUGAGACAUUAUUACAGUGGUGAGCAAAGCCCAUAGGUGUCCUUGUGGAAUGGUUCCUCUGGAUCCAAAUAGAACUGUUGCAACACUUUUGUUCAGUUUUAAAAGUAUGUUGUGUAAAAAUGGGAAUUGUGUUUUAUAGCUUGGUAGUUGGCAAUUCAUUUGAAUUUUAUCUCUUCAAAUACAGAUUCUCUGGACAUUAAAAAAGACCAAUAUCCAGGAAGUAAACCCAAUUCCUAGGGUGGAUAAGGUUAUUCCUUUUGUGCACAGCUGACAAAAGCAUAGGCUCAUGUCUUCCUUAAUAAAGGCACUUCAAUGUAUAUUUCAAAUAUAUUUAACAAGUGCUUAAGCUAAGUAAAUCUUUAAAUAUAAAUAGACUAGAAAACAAAAGGCAAUUAAUUCAGUGUUACUUGUCUUUGCCCAUUACAGCAUACUUGCUCCUAAAAGUACAUAAAACUUAAGAUUUUCUAAGUUUAAUUAUUCUAGAAGUUGUUGUCCUGAGGGGACACUUUCUCCUUUUUCUUGUAGGGAUAUACUUUAUCCUGUGUUAAAUGUAGUGGGCAAUAGUCACCAUUAUUUGCCAAUUUUAAGAGUAAUUUAUAAGAACCUUCCUGCCUUCCUGCCUUCCUGCCUUCCUGCCUUCCUGCCUUCCUGCCUUCCUGCCUGCCUGCCUCCCUCCCUUCCCUCCCUCUCUCCCUCCAUUUUUCUAGGGUAUUUUGAAAGACAGCCAGCAUGGCAAUAAUUUGUCUGUAUUAAAAUAUUCAAGGACUUCUUUAAAACAAUCACCUACGUCUUUCUUCAUUAAUCCAAAGAUAGAAUUCCCUGAAGACAGCGUGAGGAAGUGACUGCAGUUUGGAUUCUUAGAAUUACAUCUUACAUUUACUUUUGGCUAUUAACUCUUAUGAAACAAUGAAAUCCCAUCAUUAGUAGGAAAAGUGAAAUCCUUCAUUAAUGCCAUGUCUUGUAAUUUUGUUUGAGCAGAUGAUGUGUUAUCUGAAAGAGGCUGAUAUUCUGCUGUCUUAGAUUUCAUCUGGACACAGGCACUUGAUUUUGCGGCACAUUUUUUUUGAAUGGUCAGUGUGCACCUGGUCUUAAUGUCCUUUUCAUGAGCCACAUACAGAAGAGUCCUCUUAUUUUUGCAUUGAAGCAUUGUGCAUGCUACAGCAUUGCGCUUGCAUCAGAUUUCUGUUAACAGAGUUAUUCUGUGCCUCCUUAUCAGUGAUCCUGAUUAUGCAGCAGAGUGAUUAAAUCUGAAAUUAAUUCUGCCCAUCUAGGAUAGAAAGACUUACAGGUUUCUGUAGCUCUGGCACAUGAACACAUAUUCUAUACAGCAUGUUCAACAUUUUUUUAUUUGCCUACAGUAAGGAAAGCUCCUUGUUGGUAUAAAAUAUCUAGCUGCCUCUAAGAAAUUAGAAGGGUUUGCCUGAUAUUAAAAGAAUAAUUUAAAUUUUUUGUGGGAUUUAUAGGCAAAUGUCAUCUAAGGAAUACAUUUCAGAUCUGUUUUCAACCUCUGCCUUACAUUUAUAGUUAGUUUGGUGCAUGACUAUUGAAUGACCUUUAAAAUAAAGAAAUGUAUGUUAAAUGCUGAUUCACUAGUAAUACUUGGUCAGGAAGAAAGAUUGAGAGGUUAUGACAGGAAUUUUAUAAAUGUAUCUUGAAUGAUCUAAUUUAAAAAAAUUAGAGAUGUGCAGGUGCAGACUGAGUUACUGACUGCCCAGCCUUACUAUGGAUGCAACUGGAUGAGCUGUAGAACCACUUCUUCAGUACAAAGUGGAGCACAACAGGUCUGUUACAACUACAGAAAAGAGGUGUUCAUUAGCAUCAUUGCCACAGAAGGUUUUUUUAAUAUUACUUAAUAGAAGACUUACUCUUCAGUCCUCUCUUUUGAAAUCCAGAAGUUGGUCGACUUGAUGCUCUUGUGACCCAUUCACUUUUCCUUAGAAGUGGUCUUGACAUCAGUAUUUAGCCAUGAGAAAUUUCUGUGAAGCUCAAAUGAUUUCAUAUGCUCCUCUGAUCUUUAAGCUCCUUAAGACAGUCUCUGGACACUGCUAUGAUGUCAUAUUUCUCAAAUAUGUGCUGAUUCUGGUGCUGUGAAGUUUGGAAGAAAUAUUUUGGGCUUUGGGAUUUUUUUUCAAGAAUUUCCAAGUGCUAUUAUCUGGUUGGUCAGGCUUAACACUUUAUAAGUAAGGAUGACAUGAGCCAGUACAAUGCAAGAAGAUACAAAUCUCCUCCAUUCUUAAGAAGCAAAUCCAUUUUUAGCAUCCAGAAUAAUGUUUAUCUGAACUAGAAAAAUAAUUUGCAUUUUUUUUUGUUUGUUUUUCUCCUUUUUGGAAGUUUCAUUUAAAUGAAAAAAUAAUGUUUAGACUUUCUAAGCUAACUUUCUAAGCCAAUUCUCACAGUUACAAGGUGAAGAGGCUAGGAGAUCAACACACUUUAAUUUUCUUUUCUGUUUUCAGUCAGAAUCAGUGAUGCUUUAGGUAAUGUGAAAUGUGACCAUAAGUAUGCUAGUAAAGGCAAAAAAAAUGUAUUCAAACUUUUGAUAGUUUACUAUCAGCAUUUACCUGACAUUCAUUUGCUAAUAGAAUUGCAAGACUGGUAAGUGGAGCUCCUGCAAGAGACAGCAAAUUCUGAAGAUGAUCAGAAAAUAGAUUAUUAACACAUGGCAAUGCAUACAUUAAAAAGAAGAAAAGAAAUUCUGCUGGUUAUAUUCAUGUGUACUGUCAAUGCUUCAUAACAGUCACCUAAAAUAAUAUUUCUAGGAUCAUUAAUUUGAAUUACUUUGGACAAAAUAAUGCACUACACCAUUUACAGUUCAUCACUAUAAUGUAAAGACAACUUUACAAGAGAACUGCACAAGCCAUAAUCCAAUAGACAAAUUUAUAGACUUGUUUUUUUCACAUUAGAAGCAAACUAACUAUGAACAUGAAAUGUUUUCUAAUUUUAGUUUCUCUACUGCAGGCAAAUGAAACAAACUGCUGAGAAGGUAAUGAAAACAGAUUACUUAAUGGUGAAAAAUUUGAGUGCCAUUCUUUUUCUACCAGUGGUGCCACUGCUGGAAUUUAAUGGAGUGGCACCAGUGUGUCUGAAUGAAGAUUUUGAUCCCAGCUGUUUAAAAAUAGGGUUGAAUCUAAUAAGAUUUCCUCAGUACUGAUAGCUUUUUUUCCUCCUACACUGGGAGCAGGAAGAUAGAACUCAUUAUUAACACCAAGAAAGUGGAAUUUCAUCCCAGUUUCAAACUUCCUGCUCUAGUUCCAUGAUGAUUUGUUUCAGAUGUUCUUAUCUUCAUGUUAAGUCAAACAAAUUUAACUUCCUAGCUUUUUUGGAACCUUAAGGGAGAAAAUUUCAGCCCAGCAAUAAAGAUAAUGUGCUUUAAAUGACUAAGGAUCAUUGAAGCUUUUUUUUUAAACUUUUCAUGUGAAAGUCAUCUCUCUCCUACCCCUUUAUAAAAGCCCAGGUAAGUUCAGGAGGUAUUCCAGGAGGAAAAAAAAAAAGAGCAACAGACAUGCUAUGAAAUAGACAGAUGGAGCUGCAUCAGGUUUUACAUCAAUUACAGUAAGUUCUUGGAUUUAGUGCAAGAGCUUUCUUAGUUUAUGUCCUUCAAUUUCUGCAUACUUUUGGCAAUGCAGAAGUUGUUUAUUACACCAACCAUGACUGCUUGGCCUAUUAGGACGCAGUGAGAAUUAGGCUGAGUGUAAAGACAAAAGCAUGGUAUUCCAAUGGGUUUAAAUUACUGUGCAAAGAAGGUCUGGUGCACUGUCUUCUGAAUUUAGACUACUAAAGACAAGUUUGUAUUAGUGCCCUAGUGUGGAAUAAAAAUAAAAAACAAUUUUAUGGGUGAUUUUGAAAAUACCAUUCUUUCUUUCUGCAUUGCCUCAUAGAAACACAGUUUCUAAAAUGUUCCACAAUGUAAAGUAAACAUGUGAGCUGUGUCUGAACUGUAUGGAUUUUACUUUAUGCUUUCUCGUAAUUACUUAAUUCUCAGUAACCAUUUAUAUUAGUUUAAGCAUGUAGUAUUUUGUUUCAACCUAUGUUAUUGUUUCUUAACAAAAUUUGUCUUAUGCUUUUGAAUGGAAAAAGAUUUCAGAAGAUCUUUUAUCUUAAAUCUAAUUUUAUUUUUAUGUAUGAAAAUUAAAACCUGCAUCACCAGAAAGAGUUUUUCAGCAGAUUGUUACUCAAAGCAUUGGAGCAGAUACCCUCUCAGAUACUGGAGCAGGUAGUUGUUCUGUAAUGAAGUGUAGCAAAGUAGGCAGUUGGGUAUGACUCUCCCCAAAAUAAAGAGAGAUAAAAUUUCCAGGAGCUGUUUUAUGCUGGUGGUGCAACACCUAAAUAUGAAAGUACUAUUUUCACUAAUGGAUGGAUGGAUUCUGAAGAAUGGCUACCUGAUCUCCUUUUUAUCCAGGUCCCUGGCAAUUGUUUGCUUUUGUCAAUCCGUGGCAGAGGGGAAUAAGGUCAGGAGUUGACUAAUGGCCCAGACUACAUCAGCUGAGUACUUAUAAGUGAUCUAGACUGCCAAGCAGUGUUUACAAAGUAUAAAAAAGGUGACUCAAACCUUUUCUGUUUCCCAUAUCAAAGCAAAUCUUUCACAGCUGACCUGGUAGCUGGAGCAGGGUUGAGUUUUUACAAAUUCUACAAUUUAUUAACCUGUGCUUGGGCUGAUAAUGCAUAGAGAACCAUGGGCAAAGUUAAAAUGAGAUCCUCAAAUUUAGAGCGUUUUGCCAAAUAACUGUUUUGACCACAGAGCACAGUAUGCAGUGGUCGGGCAGUAGAUGUGAUUUAUGUUGUACCUAGCAGUAGACCUCCUAAUCCUGAAGUGUAGGUGCUUGCCCCAGCAGCUGGAUGAGUCACGUAGCUGCAUUUACUGCCUCAUGGAGCUUCAACAGUCUGCUUCAGGAACAGUGGAGCACUUCUGAAUGAAGCUUAAUAUUCCAUUAUCUGACUGUGGGCACAUCAAAUGCAAAAUAAACAGUCCAGUAGUGCAUCUGAAAUUCUAUUUGGAUGUGUUUUACUGUUUCUCAGUCAUUGUAGAGGACUUUUAUGUGAAAGAAGAAUGAGCUUUUGGAGACUGUAGAAAGAGAGAUUUGUUACAGCCAAAGCAAGGAGAAUGGAGAGACAGAAACAAGCAGCCUACUCACUCAGGCAUAGGAAAGCAGAGGAUGUAAAAUGUGCAGUAGAAGUAUAAUGAAUUUCUCCAUUACAAAUUAUUGUCACAGGGAAAUGUUCUUGUACAUGAAUUCUGACAUAGAAAAUUGGAUGGAUUUUUUUGUUUGUAUGUUGCAUUUAUUGAAAAUGAGAAAAGCUCAGUGACAGCAGUAUAUGAAUGUGUAUAGAUAUAUUGCUUAAGGUCUCCAUUUUUCUUGUCUCCAGUCUUUAUUCUCUCAUCUUCUCCUCAGCUAGAUAGCCAGGGUUUCUGCUUACUACCCUGAGAAAUCCACUUCACUCAUGUAUCUUCCUCUUGUCAUGAGCUUUCUGUGAGGCUAUGCUAUUUCUGGACAUGCUGGAAUCACUGUCUACUUCUGCAUUAAAAAGAAAUAGCACCUUUUCCCAUCAACAUCUCAUUACAGCUGUGUCACAGAUUUCUGAGUAAGCAGAAAAGUUAAGUGAUCCAAGUAAAAUUUUUUAGAAUUUUCAGUAGAAAACUCACUUGAGUCCAGAAUAUUUACCAACAAAUUGAUGAUCUGAUGGAAACCUGAUCUCUCUGAAAAAGAAGAGAUCUUAUAUUGUGGGCAGAAAAAUAUCACUGUAUAUUAAAUAGAUAAAACAUUGUCACCUCUUUCAAGAUUGUGCAUGUUUUUUGGUAGCAUAAAACCAAAUAAAUUCAGUGCCAUAUACAGAAAGAAUAUAGUAAAUAUUCAACUUAAAAAUGUAAUGGUAAAGGACACAAAGGUGUUUGUAUUCUGUAUUGUUUUGGUUUCUACUGAAAGAUUGUUAAUACCAAGUAGAAUUCUUUGUAGAUCCAGAAGGGAAGCAUAUGGUAUUCCUUGUCUCAAACCAGAUUUUGUAUUAUUGUAUGAGGUACCUGUUGAAAUUAAAAGGACAUUUCCCCAUCAGCUACAGCAGGCUUUGUAUUAAGAGCCUGUUGACUAUUUUAGGUUCCAUGAGGAAGGAAGGAAUGUCCAUGAUGACAUUUUCAUAUGUCACUGUCAAAUGAAUUUUUUGAUUUUUUGGGGUUUUUUUGAUUGUUUUUCAAUGAGAUCAGCAUUUCCCUUUAGGACUGGAUUUUCAGUAGGGUUUGGUGGUGAUACAGUCAAUUUUCUUCAUAGUAGCUAGUAUGAAGCUGUGUGUUGGAUCUGUGCUGGAAACUAUGUUGGUAAGGAUGUUUUAGCUGUGGCUGAGCAGAGUUUGCUCAGUCAAGGCCUUUCCUGCUCCUCGUCUCACCAGCAAGCUGAGGCUGCACAAGGAAUUGGGAGGGGACAGAGCUGGGACAUCUGAUCUGAACUGACCAAAGGGGUAUUUGACACCAUUUGGCAUCAUACACAGCAUGUAAGGCUUGGGAAGAAGAAGAAAGAGUGGGAUGUUCAGAAUGAUAGUGUUUAUCUUCCCAAGUAAUAACCAUCCAGGUGUGCUGGAGCCCUGUUCUUGUGGCAUGGUUGAAUACCUACCUGCCCAAGGAAGCAGUGAAUUAAUUCCUCCUUUGUGACUUCUCUUCUACCUAUUACACUGUCUGUAUCUCAACCUAUGAGUCUUUUUGUUUUUACUCUUCUGAUUCUCUCUCCCGUCCCACCAAGGGAAAAUGAGAGAGAUAUGGAACUUGGUUGCUGGCUGGGGUUAAACCCAUGAUAGGUAGAGAUUGUUCAUAAAAGCUGCUUUACAAAUCCAAGAUGUCAGAGAGGACUCUUAGAGCUACUUCAUAUAUUUACUAUUUUGUACAGGCACACAAAUACAUUUAACAUUAGCAAGUUCCGUUGUCAUGCAAUUUUUUGACUCAGUGACUUUAAUUCUGUGGAAUGCAUACUAUUUUGCAUUUUAUCUCUGUCCCCUAAAUCAAAUAAACCUUGCAUUUUU
RNAcentral lists this long non-coding RNA (8609 nucleotides) under Taeniopygia guttata (zebra finch). Its description in RNAcentral is "lncRNA (ENSTGUG00000028926.1)". The record is from RNAcentral. Lineage: Eukaryota; Metazoa; Chordata; Aves; Passeriformes; Estrildidae.